Molecule: unclassified non-coding RNA, 518 nt
Filed under: uncultured Glomeromycotina
Lineage: Eukaryota; Fungi; Glomeromycota
Description: SSU rRNA
Rfam family: Eukaryotic small subunit ribosomal RNA
Source: RNAcentral
CAGCCGCGUAAUUCCAGCUCCAAUAGCGUAUAUUAAAGUUGUUGCAGUUAAAAAGCUCGUAGUUGAAUUUCGGGAUCAAUUUGUCGGUCGUGCCUCGGUACGUACUGGUAUUAUUGGUUUCUACCUUCUGAAGAACCUUGAUGUCAUUAAUUUGGUGUCUUGGGGAAUCAGGACUGUUACUUUGAAAAAAUUAGAGUGUUUAAAGCAAGCAUACGCUUGAAUACAUUAGCAUGGAAUAAUGAAAUAGGACGUUUGAUUCUAUUUUGUUGGUUUCUAGGAUCGACGUAAUGAUUAAUAGGGAUAGUUGGGGGCAUUAGUAUUCAAUUGUCAGAGGUGAAAUUCUUGGAUUUAUUGAAGACUAACUACUGCGAAAGCAUUUGCCAAGGAUGUUUUCAUUAAUCAAGAACGAAAGUUAGGGGAUCGAAGACGAUCAGAUACCGUCGUAGUCUUAACCAUAAACUAUGCCGACUAGGGAUCGGAUGAUGUUAAUUUUUUAAUGACUCAUUCGGCGCCUUACG